This 497-nucleotide ribosomal RNA is filed under the name uncultured bacterium. RNAcentral's name for it is "partial 16S ribosomal RNA". It matches the Rfam family "Bacterial small subunit ribosomal RNA", at positions 29 to 507 of the family's 1533-position model. The record is from RNAcentral.
AAUGAACGCUGGCGGCGUGCCUAAUACAUGCAAGUCGAGCGAACAGAUGAGGAGCUUGCUCCUCUGACGUUAGCGGCGGACGGGUGAGUAACACGUGGAUAACCUACCUAUAAGACUGGGAUAACUUCGGGAAACCGGAGCUAAUACCGGAUAAUAUAUUGAACCGCAUGGUUCAAUAGUAAAAGACGGUUUUGCUGUCACUUAUAGAUGGAUCCGCGCCGCAUUAGCUAGUUGGUAAGGUAACGGCUUACCAAGGCAACGAUGCGUAGCCGACCUGAGAGGGUGAUCGGCCACACUGGAACUGAGACACGGUCCAGACUCCUACGGGAGGCAGCAGUAGGGAAUCUUCCGCAAUGGGCGAAAGCCUGACGGAGCAACGCCGCGUGAGUGAUGAAGGUCUUCGGAUCGUAAAACUCUGUUAUUAGGGAAGAACAAAUGUGUAAGUAACUAUGCACGUCUUGACGGUACCUAAUCAGAAAGCCACGGCUAACUACGUG